UUAAGAACACCUGAAUAUAGAGGUAAUGCUACUGUGUUUGGUUACACAGUUGCAGAAAACUGCAUUUCUGAUCAUUGUAGAUAUACUGUAGAUCAAUAGUUACCACAGUGUGGGACAUCGGAAUAACCUGAUUUGAAGAAAAUCUGACCUUCCAGAAUUUACUGCCAUGAUGUUAAGGUUUGCUGGAUGGUUGCCACUUACCAGGGUGUUCCUGUGCAUUUGCUAAGUCUGAGCCAGAGAAGCCGACCUUUGACCUGAGUGAUGCGAGCGACGCAGAGUUCGGAAGGUUGGAGGGGAUUCACGGCCUCAAGCCACAUAUCCUUACAGAAGCCCCUGCUCUGAGACGCCUGCUCACACAGUAAAAC
Labeo rohita (rohu) is the source of this 365-nucleotide long non-coding RNA. RefSeq lists it as uncharacterized. The record is from RefSeq and is a predicted model, not a curated record. Lineage: Eukaryota; Metazoa; Chordata; Actinopteri; Cypriniformes; Cyprinidae. The transcript is spliced from 3 exons.